Molecule: long non-coding RNA, 1265 nt
Filed under: Homo sapiens (human)
Lineage: Eukaryota; Metazoa; Chordata; Mammalia; Primates; Hominidae
Description: HSALNT0393558
Source: RNAcentral
GGCCUCAGCCCUCUUCAUCACUAACAAUUCUGUUUUCACACUUAUCCAGCCAAGUUGCGAGAGAAACCCCUGAAGUAGUCUAAAACACAUAUUCAGUUAUCAAAAUUUUUGGUCCUCAAGUCACUUUGAUUUUACUAAAAGCAAUCAUUUGAAGGACAUCUUGUCAGCUGGAAUCCCAAACAAACAGACGAGCGUGAAACAGGAGAAAAAAGAACAGAAAAAUAAACGUGAAAGAGCUACAUAAUGUGAGAUACCAUCUACUCAAAAGUGUUUUAAUAAGCAGAUUUUGUUGAUUUAUACAUUUCUAUUGCGUGAAUAGAUUCAUUGGAUCUGUAAAACAACACCGGAUUUUAAGGGAUUUUAAACUACAUUUGCUUAAAGACACGGGGCAUUAUCCAAGGGCUGCCAUUCUGUAUGUUGAUACAGCUGUUGACCUACCAGAACCUACAUACUUGAUGAUAAUAACUCAAAAACUGUCUCUUUACCAGCCUUUAAUCAAGUAGGAAAGAUUUGUUGGAGCUCUCACUGCCUUCUAUAAAACCUGCUGUUUGGUACCCAUGGAAUACCAAAUUCUCACAACUGCUAGGCCACUCGCUAGUGCUGUAUAUCCAUACAAUUCUGUCCCAGACCCUGCCUUGUAUGCCUAGCAACAUGUGAAGAUUUCUAUUUCUAAAUCCAGUCAUUCCAGUUGUACUUAUUACUGUCAUUAUGCAGUCUCAUUAAAUAUUAUUAAAAGCAAUUAUUAUGGAUAUGAAGAACAAAAGAUCUACUUCCUCUACAAAAACCAAAUCAAAUGCAUUGAAAAGAGACAAUAAAGUCAGGUCACCUUAAAAAUAAAUACUGUCAUCUUAAGUUUGACCAAGACAACCAUAAAAGAUUGAGGAAGGAAAUCAGAUCAUUUAAAAAUGGGAAGAAUAGUGGUCUUAGAUUGCUUUGUAAGUUUCUGUAAGUUCCUCCUUCACCUAAGAAACUGAAGCUUCACAUGGCCAAUGAUGCUGUGUAGGUGUCACUUGUCUGUGAGAGCCAAUGAAGAACAUUAAUCAGAAGAACCAAACUCAAGAACAAGGUCAUUUCCUGCUUCACAAGGGCCAUCUUUACUUUGAAAGAUACAGAAAGACUGUGUAUAUCCUUGCUUGUGAUCUUCCCAAUCAGUAGCAUCUGUUUCUAGGUCAGAUGGCAUACAAGUUCCUCCUCUGCUAAGAGUUACUGCUUUUGUGCCUCCCCAAAAAGAUAUAAUAAAAAUAAGAUUGAAUAUGGUCUUUUAA